ACGGAAGGCAGCAGUGGGGAAUAUUGCACAAUGGGGGAAACCCUGAACCAGCGACGCCGCGUGAGUGAAGAAGUAUUUCGGUAUGUAAAGCUCUAUCAGCAGGGACGAUAAUGACGGUACCUGACUAAGAAGCCCCGGCUAACUACGUGCCAGCAGCCGCGGUAAUACGUAGGGGGCAAGCGUUAUCCGGAUUUACUGGGUGUAAAGGGAGCGUAGACGGCAUGGCAAGUCUGAUGUGAAAACCCGGGGCUCAACCCCGGGACUGCAUUGGAAACUGUCAGGCUAGAGUGCAGGAGAGGUAAGUGGAAUUCCUAGUGUAGCGGUGAAAUGCGUAGAUAUUAGGAGGAACACCAGUGGCGAAGGCGGCUUACUGGACUGUAACUGACGUUGAGGCUCGAAAGCGUGGGGAGCAAACAGGAUUAGAUACCCUGGUA
This 434-nucleotide ribosomal RNA is filed under the name uncultured Clostridium sp. Its description in RNAcentral is "partial 16S ribosomal RNA". It matches the Rfam family "Bacterial small subunit ribosomal RNA", at positions 341 to 792 of the family's 1533-position model. The record is from RNAcentral. Lineage: Bacteria; Bacillati; Bacillota; Clostridia; Eubacteriales; Clostridiaceae.